UACGAAGGGGGCUAGCGUUGUUCGGAAUUACUGGGCGUAAAGCGUGCGCAGGCGGCCAUCCAAGUCAGUGGUGAAAGCCCGGAGCUCAACUCCGGAAUUGCCAUUGAAACUGUUUGGCUCGAGUACGAGAGAGGUGAGUGGAAUUCCCAGUGUAGAGGUGAAAUUCGUAGAUAUUCGGAAGAACACCAGUGGCGAAGGCGGCUCACUGGACCGGUAUUGACGCUGAGGUGCGAAAGCGUGGGGAGCAAACAGG
RNAcentral lists this ribosomal RNA (253 nucleotides) under uncultured bacterium. RNAcentral's name for it is "partial 16S ribosomal RNA". It matches the Rfam family "Bacterial small subunit ribosomal RNA", at positions 524 to 776 of the family's 1533-position model. The record is from RNAcentral.